RNAcentral lists this long non-coding RNA (1045 nucleotides) under Equus caballus (horse). Its description in RNAcentral is "lncRNA (ENSECAG00000058958.1)". The record is from RNAcentral. Lineage: Eukaryota; Metazoa; Chordata; Mammalia; Perissodactyla; Equidae.
AGCUGGCUUAAUUCCCCUCCUCUUGAUGGGGUACUGGCCUUAGUGACAAACAGAAUAUGAUGAAAACAAAGGGCAUGACGCUGGAGACCAGGUCAUAGAGGGCAUUGAGGCUUCCUCCUUGCCCUGUUGCCUGAAUCACUCACUCUGGGCAAAGCAGUGGCCAUCUUGUGAGAUAAUUUCAAGAGGGCACUCAAGCCAUCCUAUGGAGAGGCCCAUCUGGUGAGGAACAGAAGGUUCCAGACAACAGCCCACAAGAAUAACUGAGGCCUUCAGUCAAGAACCAAAUGACGCUGUCAGGAGUCUUCCAGAUCAUAAUUGGAAUGCCAUCUGGGUUAGGAUCUCCUAUGGAUAGAUAAACACAACAAGAGGGCAAAACUUGAUCAAGGCAACCCUCCAUAUUGACUAGACUUUUGGAGGUGUUAUCUUCUUACCUACAAAAUACAAUUUCUGCCAUUAAAUUCUGCAGCUGAAGUGUAUACCAAAUUCUCAUUUCCUUUAAAAUGUUAGAAUUGAGUCAUAAGACAGCUGGAAAGCCAUACAACCACCCUGAAAAGUGCUGGAAGCAAAGCCUUAGUGAGAUGACUCCAAUCUCAAACUGCUUGGCAAGCAUACGGUUCUCCUGGUGCCUGCCUUCAUCACGAUAGAGUCCUGUGGCUUGCUUUGCCCAACAGAACACAGCAGAAGUGACUUUCUGGGACUUCCAAGUUCAGGUCUCAAGGGAGCUGGCACUUUAUUUCCCAUACCUUGGAACCCUGACCCAUCAUGUAAGAAGUCCAGACUACACUGCUGGAGAGAGGCCAUGUGGAGGGACCCUGGAGGAUGAGAUAUCAUAUGGAGAGAGAGGCCACAAGGAAGAGCGUUAAGGCAUGAGACAUGUGAGCAAAGAAGUACUUGUAUGCUCUAGACCCAACCACUAUGACUGCAAUCACACAAGAACCCCCAAAGAAGACCAGAACCACCCAGCUAAACCCUUGACAAACCAAGGAAUCAUGAGAAGUAAUAAAAUUUUUAUUGUUUUAAGCCACUAAGUUUUGGGACUUUUUAA